GCUGCCAGCAUCUACAGGCAAGCUGGAAACACCCCCGGAGCGAGAGAAAACAUACCCGUGAGGCCACGCCCCUUUCACAGCAGGCCACGCCCCUUUUCGGCCGCGGUGGGGUGAGAGAUGUGUGUAACAGUAAUACUGACCCGGUGACGCCUCUGGACACUACUGUUUACCAGCCUGCAGCAGCCGCCCACAGCCUCAACGGCGUUAACACACAGAAUCAGAGGAAAGCUCACAGAUUUGCUUGUUAACAGGGUUGCGGCACCCGUUAUCCCACUAAUUAUUGGGGAUUUUAUUUUGAAUCGCUGAGGCAGGUGAUAAAAAAAUCCUACAUAGCUUCUGACUUCGGGGCUAAUUGGAAAUCCCCGGGGGAUCAAUUAGCCAAAUGAUCAAUUGGAUUCCGGCAUAAGGGUUUCGAUGCCAUGGAACUUCUGUACAUAGGAACUUAGCAGAUGGUUUCCACAAUUGUAAGAAGCCAGUAUGGAUUUCCUCACAGUAAAACUACAAGAAUACAUAAAUGAAAAAUGUGAAACGUGUUUUCUUCCCGUCAACGUGUGGAAUGUGUUUUAAUCGAAUAGAAAGGAAGUGCGC
Pseudophryne corroboree (corroboree frog) is the source of this 588-nucleotide long non-coding RNA. RefSeq lists it as uncharacterized. NCBI's taxonomy places the organism in Eukaryota, Metazoa, Chordata, Amphibia, Anura, Myobatrachidae. The transcript has 3 exons. The record is from RefSeq and is a predicted model, not a curated record.